RNAcentral lists this ribosomal RNA (431 nucleotides) under uncultured bacterium. RNAcentral describes it as "partial 16S ribosomal RNA". It matches the Rfam family "Bacterial small subunit ribosomal RNA", at positions 29 to 506 of the family's 1533-position model. The record is from RNAcentral.
ACGCACGCUGGCGGCCUGCCUAACACAUGCAAGUCGAACGAGACCUUCGGGUCUAGUGGCGCACGGGUGCGUAACGCGUGGGAACCUGCCCUUAGGUUCGGAAUAACUCCCCGAAAGGGGUGCUAAUACCGGAUAAUGUCUUCGGACCAAAGAUUUAUCGCCUUUGGAUGGGCCCGCGUUGGAUUAGCUAGUUGGUAGGGUAAAAGCCUACCAAGGCGACGAUCCAUAGCUGGUCUGAGAGGAUGAUCAGCCACACUGGGACUGAGACACGGCCCAGACUCCUACGGGAGGCAGCAGUGGGGAAUAUUGGACAAUGGGCGAAAGCCUGAUCCAGCAAUGCCGCGUGAGUGAUGAAGGCCUUAGGGUUGUAAAGCUCUUUUACCCGGGAUGAUAAUGACAGUACCGGGAGAAUAAGCUCCGGCUAACUCCGU